CGUGCGAGGCUAAGCAUGCUCAGUGUAAAUUCUCCUGUAGCCUGUCAAGCUAUGUUUGAACUCGUUCCAGAAUACUGGAUUUACUUUUUUUUUUCCACCAGGAAGAAUGCUCGAUUAGACUGCAUUUUGCCCUGCUUUCUUUCUCUCCUUUCUCUAUUUCUUUCUUUCUUUAGCCCCCUCAUCUUUCUUUUUCUUUCUUUCCUUUUUUAUUUCUCUUUCUGUUUUCUUUCUCUCUCUCUUCCUUUCUUUACCCUCUUUCUACCAGAAGAUUGGAAAUACUAUUCUUUUCUAAUCAGUUCAGUAAUAUAAUGUCCUUCAGGGUCCACAUGAGCAUUUCAGUGGAGAAGAAAAGAAACUUUGCUACCUGGGAACUGAAGACUACUUAGGUCAGUGAAUGCUAAUAAAGUCCUAAAGGACUUAUGGAGCCAGGAGUUAACUUUUCUCAACUGUUAAGAGUUCGAGAAAGAUGUUAACCUUCAGGGUAUUUUCCAUACCUUGCUUGAAAAUAAUUUCGAUUCCAACAAGAAGUACUGAAGGAAAAAAUGCAGCUUUUCAGGCACCAGAAAAGAGGGACAAAAAUCACAGAUAACGUCAGAUACAAAGUACACCGUUCCCUUUGAAAUUGUCCAUGUUCAAAAGCAAAGAUGGGCUGUCUGGAAAGCUGGACUCAGCCUGGAGCCUGUUCCCCAGAUUGCUAUUUUCUGAAGACUUCCGCAUACAAAUGACUCAGAUCCAAACAUUCAAAAAAUGAUCUUGAAGGGCCAUCUGGUUCUUGCUGGUUCUAAAGCUUCAUUCAGUCUGGUGGAUGGAUCCAGUACAAAAGAUAGUGAGGGCUCUUCAUUGAAGUUUAGAUAUGUUCCAUGGAUCAAAGUGAGAAGCUGACUUUCAAAAAUCACCAAUGCUGAUGCUCCAAGGACUGGUGAUGCUUCUCUCUCAUAGUGAAGAUGCUGCUGCUGCAUGUCCAGUUGUUCUCAUCUGUCUAAGACUAUGGACCUCCAGGAAAUUACCCUGCUGAAGGGGAGCCGAGAUCUGGAGUCUGUUACAGAUGAAAUUACCUGAUUCAUACCUUCCCACCUGGAUCUCCUUUGCCUUUUUGAGGAGAGAAGAGAUUGAAAGAGGCAGCAGGACCUGAAAAGCAUUAUAAACAGAGGAAGAAAAGUAACAAAGAGCUUGAAGACAAGCCAGGCUGGCAGGCCCUAGAUGGAGGCAGGCGGCAUCCGACAGAACCAGGAAAUCUGAGGGGCAGCCGGGAGGUGCUGUGGCUGCAAAGCCCAGCCCAUCAACAAAAAGGAAUAAUGACUCCCAAAUCAUUUCCGAAUAUGAAAGUUGAAAAGAUGUCUCGACGAUGCUUCGUCAUGCCAGACCCAGGCGAAUGGGUGCGGAUUUUGGCCUAACAAGAUAGCAGCGGGUUUAAAAAAAUAGGACUCUUAAGAAGUUCCUUUUGCAGUUGUGUUGAUGUUCCUUUCAGCUGGUCCUAUAGCCCCCCCUCCUCAGGAAUGUCUCCCCAAUGAAAGGACAAAGAAGGCAGAGACUGAUGACUGAUGGACACUCAAGCCAACUGUGAAGUUGAAAGAGAGAAAGCAGUCACCUGAAGACACCUCUCCUGCUAACCAACACACCCAAGUGGUGCAGUUUCAGCCAAUAGAACUCUCAGAACAAGAAACAUAAAAACUUAAUAAUGACACAUAGAUUUCUAAACGGCCAAGGACUUUCCCUUCCUCGUGUGUACACCUCUGUUUGUAUUUAAAUUCAGUGUGACAUUUUCUUUUCUUUUUUUCCUAGUGUGAAUAUGCUUAUUCAUGCACCAAUUCAAAGAUCUAAGAUUGCACAAAUGUGUUAAAAUUUGAAGGAACAAGAUUAAUACUCUAGAGUUUUAGCCACACACAGAGUUUGAUCUUAAGAAUGACUUUAGAGAGUAUAAAAUACUUUUAAAUGAAGUCAGAGACAACUUAAAGGCUAAAGCCAUGGUGGAAACACAGUUUAACAACUACACAUUAUUUCACCUGACACUCACCAGUCUCCAUAGAUUGGUCAUUGUCACAUGCUCCAGGAGGCCUCUAUAAAGAGUUAAACCUAGUUAAACAGAGGUACAGAAACCUUUAGAGAUAUAAGUAAUAAUUCAGGUCACUAGAUGAUGAAAGCGAAGCAAACCAAAAGAUUCAACAAGGAGCUCAAAGAAUGUCACCAUAAACUGGGUGGAACUGGUCUCUUCAGGGAAAAAAGUUCUCAGAUAAAGAAAAUCUAAGUUGAAUCUUAAAGAAUGUUGAAGAUUUAGAUAAAUGGAAAGUAAGGAGAAAAUAGAGUCCUUUAGAUGGAUCCAAUACAGUAAAUAAAGCUAUAGGGGAAGGAAUCAGCUCGGUGAGUUUAGGGAAUUAUGAAUACACAUGUCUAGCUGACUUCAUCCCAGACAUCUCAUACCAAUGCAUGUGUAUGUGUAUCUCUAUAGAUACACACAUACAUGGUAAAGCCUUUAUACAUACUUUGCCUCUCUUAUCCCAGAUGUUGCCUAGAAAUAUGUUUGUUUGUUUGUUUUUUGCUAUUAAAGCAACUGAGAGUGAUUGGUGCUAACAUGGAGAAGUUGCAAUUUUUCUGUUAACCUAAUAAUAAUUGGUAUUUAUUGAAUUCUCACUGUAUGUUAAGCAUCUUACAUACUAACCCACUUAAGCCUCACAACACUCCUGAAAAAAUUAGAUAUCAUCCCCAUUCUACAGAUAAGUAAACUGAGGCUUAAUAAGGUGAAAUAACUUGCCAAAGUGCCAUGUACAGGACUCAUAUUCACAACUGGGAUUACAAAGCUCAUGGUCUAAAGCACUAUGUGACAAAAUUGUGAUUAGUGUUAUAGUAUUACCACUUCAACCCUUCUUGACCUCUUUCUGUGGUAAACACAUAGGUACUUUAAUUAUCCCCUCAAAAAAUUUCUGUUUUCUGGUUAAAUUACACUAGAGUAAUAAAAUAGAUUAUUUGAAAAAAACUGGGAAUUGGAGUUUAUCAGUAUUUUAGCUUUUUGUGUGCGUGUGUGUAAAAUCUCGUAUUUGUUAAGAAACAAAAAAGGGAGGGGAGCUUAAUGGCCAUCUGUUAUAAUAUGCUUGCUUUUUAAUAGAGGAGAUAAAUCCAUACAGACUGAGUGAUUUAUAGAUUAUCACACAUUCAAGUGUGUCAGAGCUAGGUCCAAAAACCAGGCCCUCCAACCUAAUCGUAGUGGCUCUAGAACUAUCUUUUCUCAAAAACACAUGAACCUGAAUUUGAUCAAUGAAACAUUCUGUUGGGGUGAUCAGAGAGCACUGUAAUUAGGAGAUUGCUUCAUUUCUGCAUCACUUUAGCUUCCACCUCAAUGGAAAAAGCAAGCUAUGAUUUAACAUUUUUAGAUAUCGGCAUAGUCAAUGGUCCAUCCCUAAAGAACACAUAAUGGCCCAAAUUACAUGUACAAUGAUAAUCUGUAGUUAUUAAGAAUUCUUGGUUCACCUUAAAAAAUAAUCUCAUAAUGAGCUUUUUCUUGACCAGCUUUAUGCAAGUAUGUAUUUGUAAGUGCUUCUGCAUGAGUAUUUAUAUAUGACUGUUUCAGUAUUCCUUAUGUUUUUUGAAAAUAUCAAUAGUUAUUUACUAUUGUAAUCCUCACUUAUCCAUGUAACUAAUUCAAGAAUACUUCAUUCAUUACAAGCGAGAAUCAAGGAAAUCGCACUCUUAUUUACAUGCCCCUUUGUAUUUGGUUGGCAUUUAGCAGUGAUUAAUAAAGUGGUCAGCUGGAUAACACAAAGGUUCAAAAUGUAAUUCCAUCUUGAAGGAGUUGGUUUGGCUAGGUCUACUUAAGGACAAACAUCUAGACAUUUGGAAGUACCUGGAUAUUUGACUAUUGUAAAUUUUUACUUAGAUAUCUGGGAUAGUUAGACUUAAAACUCCUCAUGUCUUGUUUUAAAAAUGAUGAUUAUUGGCAGUAUCUCACAUAGUUCUCAUUAAGUGAGUUCAUAAAUAAACAGGGUUCUUUAAAGAGUAGCCAAGCACAAAGUGUGACUUCAUUGACAUUUUAUGACUUUGUCAUAUGUCCCUAAGCCCCCAAUAAAGGCAUUGUUGCAUCAACUAUGAAUUUGUGUUGAUUUCUUGGAAGAGCAUCCCCUCAUAAAUUGUUUGUGUUCACCAGUGUAUACCAAAGCUAGUUUCAGGAUGCGCGAGGAACAAAGAAUAUAAUGUGGUGGGAAAUUUUAAAUUUAGAGAUAAUUCCUAAACAAUCCGAUGUUGCCUUUAAAUAAACAAUACUAUUAUCUACCCAUGUCAGAAGCCAAGGUGUGAUCCUUGUCUUUCCUCUUUCCAUCUGCCACGGCCAGCCAAUCAAGGUAAAUAUUUUUGAUUUUCCCAUCUUUCAGUUUUCAAAUAUGUCCUUGUCUCCAUAUUUCUGUUACUACAGUUAAGACAACACUCCUGUCUCCCCUGGGCUACUCUAUUAUGCCUCCAGUUUUCCGCUUAAUGCUGUCAAGUAGAAAUCAGGGAAAUCUCUCUAAAAAGUACAUAUGAUUAUAUCAUUUCACAGUUUCAAACUUCUCACUGGCUUCCUGUUGCCCCUGAAAUGUCAUAACACCUAGAGCCUUUUAUAUCCUGAAUCCUGGCCCAUGUUCUUCUCUGGACUCAUCAAGUACCUCUGCCACUGCUCUUCUAGGCCCUUGCCAUGUAUCUUUGCCCUUUCUUAAUGUUCUUUUUAUCUUCUUGACUUUUCCACAUACUUAACUUUAUGCUCAGUACUAAUCUCCUCUACCCUUCCCAGAGUCGAUCACUGUCCUUCAGGUCUCAUCCUCGAAGUCAUUUCCUCUGGGAAGUCUCCACCCCUAGUAUUGCCACUACCCCUAAGACAAGCUUCCUCGCCUGAGUACUUUCUUCUGUGCUUACCUCAUAUUAGCACUUACCACCCUGAUUAUAGCUUAUGUGCCAGGCUCCUUCAUCUGAAUACGAAAUUCUAGAGCUGCCUUGCUCAACAGGGUGACUAGUAUGCACCCUACUGAAUAACAAAGAGAUACAAUUCCAUCACCAUGAAAGUUCUACUAAACAGCAUUGUUCUAAAAGACCAGUGCUGUUUGAUGUUUGUCAUUUUACCCCCUUCACUUGAAAUCUUUUUUAACUGGAGAUUGUCACCUCAACCACAGCACAACAAAUGAUUUGAGUGACAAUUUUCUCAAUUCUCCCAGGGAUGAUAAAUAAGUAAAACUAUACUGUAUGUGUAAAAGGAAGUUAAUUCACUACAGGGUAUUAGGAUUUAAGUCUACCUUAAAUCCAUAGUAAAGAAAAUCUAUGAUCACAUUGCUUGGUACAAUGUAAGUACCUCAUAAAUAUCUACUGAAUGAAGGAAUGACAUAUAUAUUAGACCUUUUGUUUUAUUUUCACUUACAUGUGUGGAGUCAAGUCUAGAUUCCAAGGGACCCCGUUUUCUAGAGGAUAUGGUGAUCGAUGACUUGCUUAUAUCCCAAGCAGAGUUGAAUGGCUUCACUACAACAGGAUUAUCCUAUAUUUUACUCUCCUCCAUUAUUUACACUGGCAAACAAAAGUAGAGAAUUGAGUUUUUAUUCAGUGAAUAAGGCCAAAGUGAAAAUGAGCAAAUUAUACCAGAUUUGAUAAAUUCUAAUUCUUUUAGGCAUUGACCAGUUUUAAAAUGUUCAUUGUUGCCUGAGCACCUCCUGUAUGUCAGGCAUUUUGUUAGGUCUUGGGGAUAAAAAAGGGGAUAAAGUGGACACAGUGUGCUUCUAAGUAAAGUAGCAAUAAUAAAAUUAUUUCUGGCCCUCUCCCUGCACUGUACUUUAAACAGGAGUUUUCAACAUGACUACACAUUGUUAUCACCUACAGACUUUAAAAAUCAUUGAUACCUGAGUCCUUCAAAAGAUUGAUUUAAUUAGUGUGGGUGUGGCCAAGAAAUUGGGAUUGAUUUUUAAAGUCUUAUGGUGAUUAUAAUUUGUAGCCAAAUCUGAGAUUUAUUUACCUGUGGGGACAGAGCUCAGGGAUCAAGAACUUUGGGUAUUAUUAAUUGACAGCAUAUUAAAAACAAAAAGAGAAACGUUAAAAAUUAUCGGACUUAUCUUCAUUUUACUUUUUGUUCCUCAGAAUAUGAAUUCGUUCUUAAGAGACACUAUGUUGUCCAAGUCAACAGCCAGUUCCUGACUGAGAUAAAAUCUGAUUCCAGGUUUCUGACUAACAACAAACCUCUUUUGCUGAGACUAAACUGUGUCAGGGAAAAGAAAAAUACAAUUAUCUUGAAAUCAAAAGACAACAUCUACUGUAGUCAUAAUUUUUAAAAGCAAGAAUUGAAUUGGUACCUAUUUGAAUCCCCAGUACUCAAAUUUUUCUGCUAAUCAAAUGUGAGCACUAUAGACUCAUUUUGUUAGAUUGCAACUUCUUUUUUGAAAAAUGUACCAGUGUGUAUAUGGAUCUAUAACUAUAUGUGUGUAUGUAUGGAUAUGUGUGUAUACACACACACAUAAACUGUAAAGAGGGCAAGAUCCCCAGAAGCCCCAAUAAUAUUCUUACAAAUUCAAAAAUAAAUAUGCAUAUGUUAAACUCCACACAUAUUUGCCUUUAAAUGUGAACUACUCUAUAGCAGAAAUGGUAGUGGGAGGAGAAAAUAAAAGAGUUCAUUGUGCUCCAUAUUCUCUGUUCCACCCACCUUAUUACAUGACAUUCCAUUGAGUUUAACAUUUCCAGCACAGGUAAAAAUUGCCAGUCUGUCCUUAUGAGUAAAAUUGACUUUGAAAAGUAACUACCAUUUAAAAAGGUACUUCUCUUAGCUUACCACCACACCUCACUUUUAGAUUCUACUCAUAGAUUAAGAGAAUCCAGGAACCAUAAACCAUCUAGUCUGCUCUUCAUCCACAUAAGACCAGAUAGUGAAAAUGUGCCUUUGCAUUUUUUAAAAGCAUCAAUGUAAAACUAAUGUUCACAUAGUCCCUUCAAAACUCAUUUCAGUGUUCAAGAGCCUACACAGUUGGGAAAUUCUAUUUUAUUUCGAUCCCAAGUCCCUCACGCUGUCGUUUAAUCCCAUUUUCUCUUGUUCCCUGUGGAGAGAAAGAACAGCUGGUCUCCAUUCUCUCUAAACUCAAUCCCUUCAUGUCCUUAAAGACACCUACCUCCCAGCCCUCUCUUCUCUGGAAUACAUAAGAGUUCUCAUCAGGAAAAUGUCUCUCUCGGAUUGUGCAUAUUUACUGCAUAUCACAUAUAUUCAUGCUCAUCACAUGUUCAUAAGAAAAACAAGCCAAGGCCAAGAGCAAAAACAAGCAAAUGUAUCAUUGUUUUUGUGAAUGAAGUUACAAAUCCAAUAAUUCACACUGAAUACAUAGUUGUGAAUGAUAAUCUUCCAAUUAUUAUGUGUCAAAAUUAACAUAAUUUCUUUUUAAAAGUAUUGGCAAUCUGUUGCUUUUAGAGAGGUGAAUUAGAAAUUCAAGAUUAGGUUUCAAUUUCCUUUUUGCAAGUUCUCCCUGUGCUCUGCAAUGGAAUAUUCCAUUCAGCAUUCCACAGCAGGAGCCACCAUUGCUUUGACAAAAAUAGAUACAGUAUUGGAACAUUCAGUCAAUGGAGUAAUCCAAUUGUCUGAACAUUCUUUUCUGCUUUGUCAUUUACAUUUUAAUAAAUCCCAGAAUAUGUCAAGCUGUAUCGAGUUGUACCAAGUGUAGCUAAUAACAUGCAGUUACCAGAUACAAGAGGAAAUCAUAACAUGCAAGUCCUGCAAUGCAUCAACAUUUGGUUUGUGUGUAUUUUUGGUUCCUACAUGUUAAACUGGGAUACUCUUAAAAAUGGAUAUUUAGCAGUCUUUGCUAUUACCAACAUGCUGUAGGGAGGGUUUCUCUACUUAAUUGAUCUAGGAACGCUGGCAUCUGUUAGCCUCAAGGAUGGCACUAUAUAUAGCUAGCAAAAAUGUGGAAUGUUAAAUCAUCAUCUUAUGACUAUUCCUCUGCCAGUUUAUUGGCUCUCCUUUCAUGAGGCUCAGAUAAUCACACUUAAUGUCACGACACCAAGAUUUGGGACAAACCAGUCUUGAAAAAUAUUGUGUGUGUGCGUGUUGUCAUUGACCUAUAUGCAAACUUAACUGCAUGCAUAUAUUGGCCACCAACUGUUUCAAAAUUUGGAGAGAUUCUGUAUUCCUGGUUUGACAGAGACCUCUGGGAUUUCACAAUGUUGUAGAGCUGUAAUGGUAGUGAAGUAAGUCUCAGCACAUUGGGAACUCUCUGGUGCAGGUAUGUACAUAGAGAGGAGGAUUCUUCAAGAAUGAGACUUUUCACAUUAGUUUCUCUUAAUUAAUAUAACAUGGGACUUGAGGCUUAAACCUAACUCUGGUUUAAUCCUUUGUAUUUAGUUACCUAAGUCACUUAAAUUAGCCCAUCAGAAAACUCUCACUUUAGGCUUCUCCUCUCAACCUUUCCAUCAUUACCUCUUAUUAGCUUCCAGAGAAUGAGGUUUAUUUCCUGCCAUCAAGUUAAUCUGAUUAGUAUUAAACAUGUAAUAAACUCAAGGACUAACGAGAAUCACUUGGUUUUUCCUCAUGCUUACAGCUGUUAAAUGCUUGCCAUGAGACUGUGAGCAGUACACCAUCAUGAUGUGGGUUUGGGUAUCAUGUUGAGGAGAGUGAUAACAUAGCUAGCAGUGAUGACAUGGACCAAAUGCAGUGGCAUUGUAAUGCAUAAAUGAGGUCAUCAGUGUUUGUUGAUUCCCAGAGUUGUUUCUUCCUCUGCCUACAGGGUUAGAACUGGUAUAUUCAGUGGGAAAGUGUGACCUAGCUAACAGUAGGAUUAUUACAGUAUCUUGAAGAUCACAAGAGAAUGAUGACCCAUUACAAUUUCCCCAUUCACUUAAAAUGUAUCAACAUUGGCUGUCAUAAAAUAUUACAAUGAUUAUAGGGUAAUGGGUUUGGAUUUGGAUGAACUUGAGAUAAUCAACUGAUGAUCUCAUCAAAAUUAAGGAGAAUUUUAGGGGUGUGUUGGUGAAGUCAAAAGGCACAGUUGAAAGUUUUAUGAAUCAAAGGUGAUAUACUUUAAAUAUAACUAUAAAUAAUUCCUUUAAAAUUUCUGAAGUUGACUCAGCUCUUCUGUAAAAUAACAAACAUGGUAGUUGACUUGUCUUGAUUUUAUAAAGAUACUGAAAGAAAUUAUGGCCAGUGUUUAAGAAGGCUCCUAUAUUAUAAACCAUUGACCUUUAAACUACAUACAUUAGCAGAGAAGAGCAGGGAUGCAAAUGCUAUACAAAAUGAAUAUGGUGUUUAUAAUGCAAUUUUGAUGUUUGCUACUGCCAAAUUUCUUUUUAAAUUCUAGAGCCAAAAUACAUUCAAUCAUGAAAAAACCAUUGCGGCUAUCUAGUCUACCUUUUGCUUGAAUUUUUUCUGCUAGUCUCUUGUGGAUCACCUCUCUAAUCAACCAUUCCACCUUUGGACAAUUCAGAGUGUUUAAACACUUUCUUCUUUUAUCAAGGUUUAGGAGUCUCUUCCAUCAUUCCAAGUUUUACCCAUGAGAUAUACAAUGUAAGUCUGAUCAGUCUUUUCCUAUUGUCAAUUCAUAGACAAAGGAAGAAAUCAUGUUCUUUCCGUAGUCUCCUUUUCUCAGGGCUACACACACCGAGCACCUUCAAUCACUAUCCCGAAGGCAUUAUCUCAAGUACAUUGAUCACUUAUAAGUUGUCUCUAAAAUUUGCCUUUUUAAAUAUGUUAUUCAGAAUUGAAUGUGAUUUUCUAGAUGUGGACUAACAAAUGGAAAGCAGACAUGUUAUGAUCACUGAAAAGAAAUUGUCCCUAAGUGCUCAAUUUUUAUGAAUAAAACCUGUUAAUUUUCUUAGCAAUCAUUAAGCAGUAUUGAUGCAUAU
This is a long non-coding RNA of Talpa occidentalis (Iberian mole), 9816 nucleotides long. RefSeq lists it as uncharacterized. The transcript is spliced from 9 exons. Lineage: Eukaryota; Metazoa; Chordata; Mammalia; Eulipotyphla; Talpidae. The record is from RefSeq and is a predicted model, not a curated record.